This 549-nucleotide ribosomal RNA is filed under the name Triticum aestivum (bread wheat). Its description in RNAcentral is "partial small subunit ribosomal RNA". The record is from RNAcentral. Lineage: Eukaryota; Viridiplantae; Streptophyta; Magnoliopsida; Poales; Poaceae.
AUGUACCGGCGGUACCACAAUGUGCACUUCCGUUCUCCAGAUGGCCAUGGUGAUGAUAAUGCGUAUGACAAUGGGGGACUAGUCAUUGACUUGAAGGAGAAAGUUGUCGGAAUGGUCAACCUCCCUAAGAGAUUUGGGUCUUUUAUACCGUCUUCCAUUUUGCUCAAUUGUUUGGAUUCAUGGAAGAAACAUCGGUACAUCGCUCGGCCCCAUCUUGGGAUGACGUUUGAGGCCAUCAAGCUUCUAGAGCCUGCUCAUGUUGAUAUGUUAUGGCGUAUGUAUAACAUUGAUCAUGGUCUUAUUGUUCAAGAGGUGUCGAAAGGAUCUAAUGCUGAGAUACUCGGAAUCCAAAAAGGUGAUGUUAUUGAAUCUAUCAAUGGAAAACCUGUUUCUACCACAAUUGAGUUGGAGAAUAUGCUGAUGAGCACAUGCAAGGGCCUUGCUGAAGUUCAUAUUUCUGUUGGGGUGUUUCACACACUUAAAGAAGAACGAAGCACCGUAGAGUUGAGUGCAAAAUUAUCAAAACUUGGAGAAGUUAUUACAAGCUAG